Magnolia sinica is the source of this 2364-nucleotide long non-coding RNA. RefSeq lists it as uncharacterized. The record is from RefSeq and is a predicted model, not a curated record. The transcript is spliced from 5 exons. NCBI's taxonomy places the organism in Eukaryota, Viridiplantae, Streptophyta, Magnoliopsida, Magnoliales, Magnoliaceae.
CAAUACAAUCAAGGUGGAUCUCAGGGAAAGAGAUACUGACAAAAACGAAAAACAGAACUUCAAGGUGGAUCUCACCAAUGGAUGGUUGAGACUAAGGAUCAGAUCUUUGUCAAUACAAUCAAUCAAAAUCAUCAAAUUUCCUGAUCAUGAAUCAGAUGGCUUGGAUUGUUUGGCGAAAGUGAUUUUGGGAUGUGCAAGCAAUCAAAGAUGAGGCCUACAUGAUAGAAAAAUCCAUAUCAAUGAUCAUACCUCUUCAAAUAUGAUUAACAAGUAAUUUCCAGCCCUGAAUCUCCAAUGGAAGUAUAUCUUGAAAGUUGAGAGCCAUGGGAAAAGGUGCCAUUUGUUACUAUCUUGUGCUGCAUGCAGACUUACAUGUUUGGGUAUGAUAGUGUCCAUGGGCAAUAGAAGAUCAUGAGCUCAAGGUGAAGGACUCCAAGACCCUUCUCUUUGGUGAGAAACCAGUUACUGUAUGUGGUGUCAGGAACCCUGAAGAGAUUCCAUGGGCUGAGAAUGGCGCUGCAUUAUGUUGUGUAGUGAACUAGAGUGUUUACUGACAAGGACAAGGCUGCUGCCCAUUUGAAGGUUUUCUAAUUUCUAUUAACUCAUUUUUCCUUCGUUCAAGAUAAAAGAAAAUAGAUUUUUUAGUUGAUAUUGAUGACUUGUACAGGAGUAUGUUUGUUUGUAGUGUUUGAUUUGAUUGGAAUUCAUUUGGUGGCCUGAUAGCUAGAAGUGGUUUAUCAUGUUUCAUAACUGUUUCAUUUGGUGCCAGUGCUGGUUUGUGCCAUUUUUAUCUCCUUUUUUCCUUUUUUGAUGUUUCUUUUCCUCAAAAUCUAUAUUGCUGUUCCAGCUUUUCUGAAUUGGAUAUUUUAUAUGAUUAUUGGUCUUGUUGCUAAUGACAUGCAAGCAACAAUUAUGGAACCAGCAGAUAGCCCCUUUGCAGGUGGUGUAUUUCUUGUAACCAUUCACUUCCCACCAGAUUACCCCUUCAAGCCACCCAAGGUAAAUCUCACAUUCUCUUGAGACAGGGCAAUGAAAUAUCUUUUUAAAGAGCCUGAGUGGGAAUGAAUGAUUUGUGAGUCAUAACAAACUGCUUGAGUAAUGUUCAAAAUCCUGGUCACAAUUGAAAAUUGGUCAAUGACUUGGCCAUGUCAAUGAAAAGGUUGCUGACUGUAGCAACUGACUUGCAUACCUUUAUGAGGUGUGGCAAGUAGCUGAAAUUUAAAAUGAAUUGUAAGAAACUAUGGAUCAAUGUUUAGGUUAUAAGGAAGUGUUCUGUAGCUGAAAUUUAAAAUACAUUGUAAGAAACUAUGGAUCAAUGUUUGGGUUAUAGGGAAGUGUUCUGUAGCUGAAAUUUAAAAUGCAUUGUAAGAAACUAUGGAUCAAUGUUUGGGUUACAAAGAAGCGUCCUGUAGCAGACAUAAGAGAGCAUCAUGUGACAAUUACCGCUGUUUUAUGCAGUGCACACAUUUAGAAAGGAUACAAUUCUUAUGCAGUGCAUGGGAUGUACGUAGGAAUGUUUAUGUAUGUUCUAGAUCACUGAUGACAGUGAGUAUUGUCUUCCUUUUUUUGGUGGUGAUUGUAGAGUGAAUAUCUCACUUUCCUAUACUUGCCUAUUUAGAUGUGGACCAAGGAAGAGACAGAUCAGUUAUUUGACUUGUGUGAAUGGUUCGAUCUACGUUUUAUAGUGAUAGCUGAUAGGUUUUCAUCCUCUCAAAGCAUGGAGGAAUUGAAGAGUCGUUAUUAUGUAGAUUGUGGUUUAACCAGUUUUCUCGGGUUGCUUCUAACAAGCAGUGUUCCUUCUUUGGAAAUGUAUCUCUCAGAACCAGCAUUUCACUUUUUGAGCUUUGGGAUAUCUGUGAUGUGGUGGUGCUUGCUUAUGGUGUAGAAAGUGACAGAGUUCUUGGAAUUCCUGGGGAAGUAUGUUUCCAACAAUCAGAAACAUCUGCCUAGUAUCCCAUGUAAAAACACAACAUUGUUUUCUACUACCAAUGAUAUAAUUAGCUCAUUUCGUUGUUUGAAACCUCAUCAAGUAGAUGCAAAGAUCAGCUGAGUUUGCUCAACUUCAUCAGGAAUGAAGUUGAGUUUUUUUACAACUCAAUUUCUACUCUUUUUCCUUUUUCUUUAUAUUUUCUUCUUCUUUUCCGAAUGGUUUUGACUCAAGAAGGCCCGAGAUUUUCUUGAAAUAAAUGAAAACUCCAAAAACCUCGGUAGAGUUAACUCUUGAUUGAGACUGUGUCGACUCAAGUCGAAAGCAGACUCAUCUCUCAAGUUUCUAAACCUUUUGUUUUUUUUUUUUCCUUCUAAACUUUGCUUCAUGUUACGGCAUGCAAGUGUUAGUGUCAUGUUCAAUUGCAGUUGAAUAUG